Molecule: ribosomal RNA, 301 nt
Filed under: uncultured bacterium
Lineage: Bacteria
Description: partial 16S ribosomal RNA
Rfam family: Bacterial small subunit ribosomal RNA
Source: RNAcentral
CAGUCGCCACGGUAAAACGUAGGUGGCAAGCGUUAUCCGGAAUUAUUGGGCGUAAAGCGCGCGUAGGCGGUUUUUUAAGUCUGAUGUGAAAGCCCACGGCUCAACCGUGGAGGGUCAUUGGAAACUGGAAAACUUGAGUGCAGAAGAGGAAAGUGGAAUUCCAUGUGUAGCGGUGAAAUGCGCAGAGAUAUGGAGGAACACCAGUGGCGAAGGCGACUCUCUGGUCUGUAACUGACGCUGAGGAGCGAAAGCGUGGGGAGCGAACAGGAUUAGAUACCCCCGUAGUCCCUGUCUCUUAUAC